AACCGCCGUAUACGGAACCGUACGUACAGUGGUGUGAGGGGGUUGGGGGUUAGUCGCCCCCUCCUACUCGAU
This 72-nucleotide unclassified non-coding RNA is filed under the name Aerococcus suis. The record is from RNAcentral. Lineage: Bacteria; Bacillati; Bacillota; Bacilli; Lactobacillales; Aerococcaceae.